AGAUUGAACGCUGGCGGCAUGCCUUACACAUGCAAGUCGAACGGUAGAGUAGCAAUACUUGAGAGUGGCGAACGGGUGAGUAAUAUAUCGGAACGUGCCCAGUCGCGGGGGAUAACGUAGAGAAAUUUACGCUAAUACCGCAUACGAUCUAAGGAUGAAAGCGGGGGAUCGCAAGACCUCGCGCGAUUGGAGCGGCUGAUAUCAGAUUAGGUUGUUGGUGAGGUAAAAGCUCACCAAGCCGACGAUCUGUAGCUGGUUUGAGAGAACGACCAGCCACACUGGGACUGAGACACGGCCCAGACUCCUACGGGAGCAGCAGUGGGAAUUUUGGACAAGUGGGCGAAAGCCUGACUCCAGCAAUGCCGCGUGCAGGAAGAAGGCCUUCGGGUUAGUAAACUGUCUUUUAGUAACGGAAACGAAAAGGCUACUUUACUAAAUAAAGAGGACCCAGUAGUACGGUAACCGUAAAGAAUAA
This 475-nucleotide ribosomal RNA is filed under the name uncultured soil bacterium. RNAcentral's name for it is "bacterial SSU rRNA". It matches the Rfam family "Bacterial small subunit ribosomal RNA", at positions 26 to 537 of the family's 1533-position model. The record is from RNAcentral.